Non-coding RNA from Trichonephila clavipes, 76 nucleotides. The record is from the annotation of a GenBank genome assembly. Lineage: Eukaryota; Metazoa; Arthropoda; Arachnida; Araneae; Nephilidae.
CUGUAGAACAAUGAAUAGCGCGCGCGCGUUCGACUUCUAAUCCAAAGGUCGUGGGUUCGAAUCCCACCUGAAAUGA